RNAcentral lists this unclassified non-coding RNA (99 nucleotides) under Pseudomonas umsongensis. RNAcentral's name for it is "microRNA mir-598". Lineage: Bacteria; Pseudomonadati; Pseudomonadota; Gammaproteobacteria; Pseudomonadales; Pseudomonadaceae. The record is from RNAcentral.
GGUUGUUGACCCCUGUAGGAGCUGCCGCAGGCUGCGAUCUUUUGAUCUUAAAAAAACAAAAUCAAGAGAUCGUAGCCUGCGGCAGCUCCUACACGGGGA